AGCUCAGCACAGCGUUCAGGCCGUGCUGGCUUACAACCAGCAGGUCGGGGGUUCGAGUCCCUCAGCGCCCA
Molecule: transfer RNA, 71 nt
Filed under: Acidimicrobiaceae bacterium
Lineage: Bacteria; Bacillati; Actinomycetota; Acidimicrobiia; Acidimicrobiales; Acidimicrobiaceae
Description: tRNA-Val
Source: RNAcentral